CUACGGGGUGCAGCAGUGGGGAAUAUUGGGCAAUGGGCGCAAGCCUGACCCAGCAACGCCGCGUGAGGGAAGAAUGGGUGAGGAGUGUAGGCAGCGGGCCGGGGGGAAGAAAAAAAGGACGGUACCCAAGGAGGAAGCUCCGGCUAACUACGUGCCAGCAGCCGCGGUAAUACGUAGGGAGCAAGCGUUGUCCGGAAUUAUUGGGCGUAAAGGGUGCGUAGGCGGCGCUGUAAGUCAGAUGUGAAAUCCCCGGGCUUAACUCGGGAGUUGCAUUUGAAACUACAGUGCUUGAGUAAAGAAGGGGUAAGUGGAAUUCCUAGUGUAGCGGUGGAAUGCGUAGAUAUUAGGAGGAACACCAGUGGCGAAGGCGACUUACUGGUCUUUUACUGACGCUGAGGCACGAAAGCGUGGGGAGCAAACAGGAUUAGAUACCCGAGUAGUC
Molecule: ribosomal RNA, 442 nt
Filed under: uncultured bacterium
Lineage: Bacteria
Description: partial 16S ribosomal RNA
Rfam family: Bacterial small subunit ribosomal RNA
Source: RNAcentral